RNAcentral lists this unclassified non-coding RNA (486 nucleotides) under Hevea brasiliensis (rubber tree). The record is from RNAcentral. Lineage: Eukaryota; Viridiplantae; Streptophyta; Magnoliopsida; Malpighiales; Euphorbiaceae.
AGAAGAUAUGUGGUUUUGCCCUGGAUGUAAGGAGCAUCGCCAAGCCACUAAGAAGUUGGAUCUUUGGAGACUGCCGGAAAUUCUGGUCAUCCACCUGAAGAGGUUCUCAUACAGCCGGUUUAUAAAGAACAAGUUGGAGACAUACGUUGACUUCCCCACUCAUGAUCUCGAUUUAUCCUCAUAUAUGGCCUACAAGGAUGGAAAAUCUUCCUAUCGGUAUAUGCUUUAUGCAAUUAGCAACCAUUAUGGAAGCAUGGGAGGGGGUCACUAUACGGCAUUUGUUCAUCAAGGUGCUGAUCGGUGGUAUGACUUCGAUGACAGCCAUGUGUCUCCCAUCAACAAGGACAAGAUCAAAACCUCAGCAGCGUAUGUUCUGUUUUAUAGACGAGUUGAAGAAACCUAACGUUAGAUUAUAGUUACUAAACAUCAAGGCUUGAUUUAUCUUUUCGCAAAGCCUUACAGGAAUGGGUUUGGUUUCAACAUUCU